RNAcentral lists this non-coding RNA (22 nucleotides) under Arabidopsis thaliana (thale cress). The record is from RNAcentral. Lineage: Eukaryota; Viridiplantae; Streptophyta; Magnoliopsida; Brassicales; Brassicaceae.
CGCGCCGAGAGUGAAGCAGUGC